ACACAACGCAGAGAUACAUAAAUAGAGAAAACGGAUAUAAUUUGCUUAUUAUCUGAUUACCAGCUCUGCACAGCGGACUUGUAACACUAGCAGCAGUGGAGAUGGAGCAUCAGAACCUGGAGAAUACAGCAACAACAACAAGGAUCCAUUUGAAGAUAGCUGCUUGGGCCUAGCAGCAAGAACCUCCAUCUGUGCCUGCACCCAGGUCAAGAUCUACCGUGGCUCAAGGGCCUUCACCAGAGCCAUCACCACCAAGGACCAGAGGACCAGCAUCACUACAGCAGCCUCCAUCUCCAUCUGUGCCUGCCACAAGAUUAAGAUACACCUCGGUACAAAGGCCUCCACCACAGCCAUCACGAUCAACCCAGCCAGCAAAGAAGUCUCGCCUAGCACACCUCCCUCCCGCCGACACAGCCACCAGCAGCCCAUGCACCAUCACCCCCACCUACACAGCAGCCAGACCCACUGUCUUGGAAGACAGACAAAGACCAUGGUACUGCUCCCCCUGUCUUUACAUUUAUAAUGAAUAGUUGGUUGAGAAAGUUCUGAUAUUGUCAGGGUUCGUACAGUCAUUAAAAACCUGAAAAAGUCAUGGAAUGCAAUAUUUUCCUCAAAGUUUAGGAAAAGUCAUGGAAAUAUAACUAAAGUUGCAUCAAAUAUAAUUUAUAUGUUAUCUAAUCGCCGACAUAGUAAUACUAUAAUGAUAAAUACUGUAUCGUAUAAUGAAACGUAAAAUGGCAACUGUGGCAGUAUUUCGCUGGUGAGAGAUGUUUACAAUCACGCCCUCUAGUCUACAGGAGCUACUAUUUGAUAUAAAGAUGCCAGGGAAGUGCAGUUUCAACAAUGUAUGGCUUCUAAAGAAUAAGUACCAAUUGUGGUUAUCAAAAGACAUUGACCCAAGAUGUGCUAAAUGCAAACUGUGUUGUAACAUAUUCAAUAUUUCGAAUAUGGGCG
Molecule: long non-coding RNA, 954 nt
Organism: Gymnodraco acuticeps
Lineage: Eukaryota; Metazoa; Chordata; Actinopteri; Perciformes; Bathydraconidae
Exons: 3
Source: RefSeq, a predicted model, not a curated record